AGUUCAUCGUGCGUCAUCUGCUCUAGUGAUGGUGGAAAAAAAAAAAAAUGAGAGGAAGCGUCGUGGAACUUCGUUAACGUCUCAUCACCCAGGGAGAUGUUUUUCAACGAUCAUCUAAUCUAAUCAGAUAGAUAUAACAGGACGUCCAUUUUGUAUUCCGGCAGCCGAACGGAGAAAAAAAAAGAAACAAACAGGAAAUGGAAAGAAAUAAAAAUCAGCGUCAUAUACGUACACCGCAAUAUAAAGUUUGGCCUACAUUUUCACCUUACGUGGCUGCGUAUGGCGUCAUCAUUCGGCAUAUGUUUCCUUUCUCCACACACUAAGGAAGAAGGCCCAGAAAGUAGGCCGUGAGAAAGUCGAGCCAUGGCGGCUCUGACCUGUGAAAUGCAACAAACGGAAAAAAUUGCAAUAAAAAAUAAA
This is a long non-coding RNA of Daphnia carinata, 420 nucleotides long. RefSeq lists it as uncharacterized. The transcript has 3 exons. The record is from RefSeq and is a predicted model, not a curated record. NCBI's taxonomy places the organism in Eukaryota, Metazoa, Arthropoda, Branchiopoda, Diplostraca, Daphniidae.